Molecule: long non-coding RNA, 667 nt
Organism: Pygocentrus nattereri (red-bellied piranha)
Lineage: Eukaryota; Metazoa; Chordata; Actinopteri; Characiformes; Serrasalmidae
Source: Ensembl
GUAAGCACAUUCAUUAAUAUGAACUAAACCGUAUUGAGCGCUGGAAACUUUUAUUGUGAAAAAUAUCCUCCCGGUUGUGGUCUGUUGUUGCUGUGUUCCCACAGCGUGUUGUGUUUGGGGGAAGCUCUGAAGCGGACACUCAGUCUGAGGUUAAAGAGCUGUAAGUGCUGCUUUAAGCUGCUUUCAGUCGUUAUAUGUCAGCGUAACUGACUGAUGAGUGUUUUUAAAUGUCUGUUGGAGCCUCACUGAUGGAGGUACUGCUCGUCCUGCAGGGGUUUAGAGGAGGAGCUGCAGUAAAGUCGGUAGGUCGGUAAAGUUGGGCUGAUGUUGGAUAUUCAGCGGAUAUUCGCGUCUCGCCCCUCCUGUCGCUCACAAACCGCCUCUUAAAGAUUCUGAAAGAACAUUUUCUAAAUCUGGUAAAACAGACAACAAACUACAAUCAUUACAAUUACUUAGAGUUCUCGAUCUUUCCAUUUCGCCGAGGACUUUUGGGGAAAAUAGCUGGAAUCGCUGCAGGAGGCGCCGAAUACGGUCCAGUCUCUGCUCCGGUCUUCAUGAACUGCCAGCCAAAGUCAACGGAGGCAAGAAAAAGCUAAACAUUUCUGAUGUCAGAUGGUCUGGUUGUAUGGUUGCACAUAAAACUGUUCUUCUCUGGCUUCUGCUCUGA